RNAcentral lists this ribosomal RNA (795 nucleotides) under uncultured bacterium. Its description in RNAcentral is "bacterial SSU rRNA". It matches the Rfam family "Bacterial small subunit ribosomal RNA", at positions 8 to 796 of the family's 1533-position model. The record is from RNAcentral.
AGAGUUUGAUCAUGGCUCAGGAUGAACGCUAGCGGCAGGCUUAAUACAUGCAAGUCGUGGGGCAGCGCGGGUAGCAAUACCUGGCGGCGACCGGCAAACGGGUGCGGAACACGUACGCAACCUUCCUUUAAGCGGAGAAUAGCCCAGGGAAACUUGGAUUAAUACUCCAUAAGAUUAUGGUGUGGCAUCACACAGUAAUUAAAGCUCCGGCACUUAAAGAUGGGCGUGCGACUGAUUAGGUAGUUGGCGGGGUAACGGCCCACCAAGCCUACGAUCAGUAACUGGUGUGAGAGCACGACCAGUCACACGGGCACUGAGACACGGGCCCGACUCCUACGGGAGGCAGCAGUAAGGAAUAUUGGUCAAUGGACGCAAGUCUGAACCAGCCAUGCCGCGUGGAGGAUGAAGGCCCUCUGGGUUGUAAACUUCUUUUAUUUUGGGAAGAAACCCAUCUUUUUCUAAGGGUUGACGGGUACCAGAUGAAUAAGCCCGGCCUAANNUCCGUGCCAGCAGCCGCGGUAAUACGGAGGGUGCAAGCGUUAUCCGGAUUCACUGGGUUUAAAGGGUGCGUAGGUGGGCAGGUAAGUCAGUGGUGAAAUCUCUGGGCUUAACCCAGAAACUGCCGUUGAUACUAUCUGUCUUGAAUGUAGUGGAGGUGAGCGGAAUAUGUCAUGUAGCGGUGAAAUGCUUAGAUAUGACAUAGAACACCCAUUGCGAAGGCAGCUCGCUACACUAUUAUUGACACUGAGGCACGAAAGCGUGGGGAUCAAACAGGAUUAGAUACCCUAGUAGUCC